This 60-nucleotide transfer RNA is filed under the name Heterosigma akashiwo. The record is from RNAcentral. Lineage: Eukaryota; Raphidophyceae; Chattonellales; Chattonellaceae.
GCUGGCUCAACGGUCAAGGAGCAGCACUUGGGCGCGUUCACCCGUGGGUUCGAAUCCCAC